AUUGAACGCUGGCGGCAUGCCUUUCACAUGCAAGUCGAACGGUAACAGGUCUUCGGAUGCUGACGAGUGGCGAACGGGUGAGUAAUACAUCGGAACGUGCCUAGUAGUGGGGGAUAACUACUCGAAAGAGUGGCUAAUACCGCAUGAGAUCUACGGAUGAAAGCAGGGGAUCGCAAGACCUUGUGCUACUAGAGCGGCCGAUGGCAGAUGUAGGUAGUUGGUGGGAUAAAAGCUUACCAAGCCGACGAUCUGUAGCUGGUCUGAGAGGACGAUCAGCCUGACGGGGACUGAGACGAGGCCAAGACUGCUACGGGAGGCAGCAGUGGGGAAUUUGUGACAAUGGGCGAAAGCCGGAUCCAGUAAGGCGGGGUGCAGGAUUAAGGCCCUCGGGUUGUAAACUGCUUUUGUACAGACCGAAAAGGUUUCUACUAAUACUAGGAGCUCAUGACGGUACUGUAAGAAUAAGCACCGGCUAACUACGUGCCAGCCGCCGCCGUAA
Molecule: ribosomal RNA, 499 nt
Filed under: uncultured bacterium
Lineage: Bacteria
Description: partial 16S ribosomal RNA
Rfam family: Bacterial small subunit ribosomal RNA
Source: RNAcentral